GUAUUGGGGUAGAAGAUACUGUAUACCGUUACCUGUGCCCUGUGAGAAAGAUUGGAAGCAUCAUUGGUAGGGGUGGAGACAUUGCAAAACAACUAAGAUCUGAAACUAAAUCAAACAUUAGGAUUGGGGAAACUAUGCCAGGCUGUGAGGAACGUGUUGUCACCAUCUAUAGUUCAAGUGAGGAAACUAAUCCAUUUGGUGAUACCGGUGAGCUUGUUUCACCUGCACAAGAUGCUCUCUUCAGGGUGCAUGAUAGGAUUGUUGCUGGUGAGCUGCCUGCUGAUGAGGAACCUGAAGAGGCACAGCAAGUUACUGUUCGGAUGCUUGUGCCUUCUGAUCAG
RNAcentral lists this long non-coding RNA (341 nucleotides) under Vitis vinifera (wine grape). Its description in RNAcentral is "long non-coding RNA (VVIN_LNC000185)". The record is from RNAcentral. Lineage: Eukaryota; Viridiplantae; Streptophyta; Magnoliopsida; Vitales; Vitaceae.